Molecule: ribosomal RNA, 837 nt
Filed under: uncultured Sebacinales
Lineage: Eukaryota; Fungi; Basidiomycota; Agaricomycetes; Sebacinales
Description: eukaryotic LSU rRNA
Source: RNAcentral
GUGGACUUGGACUCUGUCGUGUUACAACGACUGGUCUGAAAUGCCUGAGUGCACCCUGCUGUUGCAGCGUCUUCAGUGUGAUAAGCAUCUUCACUGAUUCAAGUUCCUUCGGGACACGUAGCAUUGUGGGCUCUGUGCUGACRAACCGUCCUCGGACAAUCUUUGACAAUUUGACCUCAAAUCGGGUGGGACUACCCGCUGAACUUAAGCAUAUCAAUAAGCGGAGGAAAAGAAACUAACAAGGAUUCCCCUAGUAACGGCGAGUGAAGAGGGAAAAGCUCAAAUUUUGAAUCUGGUGUCUUUGGCGCCCGAGUUGUAAUCUAGAGAAGUGUUUUCUGCCUCGGACCACACAUAAAUUCCCUGGAAUGGGGUGUCAUAGAGGGUGAGAAUCCCGUUUGUGGUGUGGACUACCUUGGCUCUGUGAUACACUCUCAACGAGUCGAGUUGUUUGGGAAUGCAGCUCAAAAUGGGUGGUAAAUUCCAUCUAAAGCUAAAUAUUGGCGAGAGACCGAUAGCGAACAAGUACCGUGAGGGAAAGAUGAAAAGCACUUUGGAAAGAGAGUGAAACAGUACGUGAAAUUGUUGAAAGGGAAGCGUUUGAAGUCAGUCACAUCGGUCGGAAUUCAGCCUGGCUUUGCCUGGUGUACUUUCUGGCAGAUGGGUCAGCGUCAAUUUUGACUGAGGGAAAAAGACUUGAGGAAUGUGGCUGUCUUCGGGCAGUGUUAUAGCCUCUUGUUGUAUGUCUCAGUUGGGAUUGAGGACCGCAGCACGCCUUAUGGCCGGGGUUCGCGCCCUCGGAACGUGCUUAGGACGCUGGCAUAAUGGCUUUAAGCGACC